This 453-nucleotide ribosomal RNA is filed under the name uncultured bacterium. RNAcentral's name for it is "bacterial SSU rRNA". It matches the Rfam family "Bacterial small subunit ribosomal RNA", at positions 8 to 507 of the family's 1533-position model. The record is from RNAcentral.
AGAGUUUGAUCAUGGCUCAGAACGAACGCUGGCGGCAUGCCUAACACAUGCAAGUCGAACGAAGCCUUCGGGCUUAGUGGCGCACGGGUGCGUAACGCGUGGGAAUCUGCCCUUGGGUUCGGAAUAACAGUUAGAAAUGACUGCUAAUACCGAAUGAUGUCUUCGGACCAAAGAUUUAUCGCCCAAGGAUGAGCCCGCGUCGGAUUAGCUAGUUGGUGAGGUAAAGGCUCACCAAGGCGACGAUCCGUAGCUGGUCUGAGAGGAUGAUCAGCCACACUGGGACUGAGACACGGCCCAGACUCCUACGGGAGGCAGCAGUGGGGAAUAUUGGACAAUGGGCGAAAGCCUGAUCCAGCAAUGCCGCGUGAGUGAUGAAGGCCUUAGGGUUGUAAAGCUCUUUUACCCGGGAUGAUAAUGACAGUACCGGGAGAAUAAGCUCCGGCUAACUCCGUG